CUGGCAGUAAUAGAAAGUGAAGUCCCUUUUUUGUAUCCACAGGAAAGGUAUAGUUGGACCACUUCAUUGUGAGCCAUCAGUGACCUAGAGGGACUUUUUUUCCUUCUUUUAGAGACAGAAUGUUCGUUCUCCAUAGCAGCUCAUUCCUGGUCCUCU
RNAcentral lists this small RNA (156 nucleotides) under Sus scrofa (pig). RNAcentral describes it as "TUC338 (ENSSSCG00070028499.1)". Lineage: Eukaryota; Metazoa; Chordata; Mammalia; Artiodactyla; Suidae. The record is from RNAcentral.